RNAcentral lists this RNase P RNA (337 nucleotides) under Pseudomonadota bacterium. Its description in RNAcentral is "Proteobacteria bacterium partial RNase P RNA component class A". It matches the Rfam family "Bacterial RNase P class A". Rfam says of the family: Ribonuclease P (RNase P) is a ubiquitous endoribonuclease, found in archaea, bacteria and eukarya as well as chloroplasts and mitochondria. Its best characterised activity is the generation of mature 5'-ends of tRNAs by cleaving the 5'-leader elements of precursor-tRNAs. The record is from RNAcentral. Lineage: Bacteria; Pseudomonadati; Pseudomonadota.
AAGGUUGGGUAGGCAAUCGCGACUAAUUUAAUUUAGUCGAGGAAAGUCCGGACACCACAGGAUAACAGUGCUGGGUAACGCCCAGGGGUCGUCUGACGACUACGGAAAGUGGCACAGAAAAUAUACCGCCAAGAAAUUGGUAAGGGUGAAAAGGUGUGGUAAGAGCGCACCGCAUUUUCAGUGAUGAAAAUGGCAGGCAAAACCCCACUCGGUGCAAGACCAAAUAGGCCUAACUUGAUUCUAUCCUGAUCGUUUAGUUUGGCGGGUAGGUUGCUUGAAUUCAUGAGUAAUCAUGAAUCUAGAUGAAUGAUUGCAGCGGAAACAUUCCGACACAGAA